Molecule: ribosomal RNA, 778 nt
Filed under: uncultured bacterium
Lineage: Bacteria
Description: bacterial SSU rRNA
Rfam family: Bacterial small subunit ribosomal RNA
Source: RNAcentral
CGCAGCGUGGUUUGUUAAGUCAGAUGUGAAAGCCCCGAGCUUAACUUGGGAACUGCGUUUGAAACUGGCAAGCUAGAGUCUGUCAGAGGGGGGUAGAAUUCCACGUGUAGCAGUGAAAUGCGUAGAGAUGUGGAGGAAUACCAAUGGCGAAGGCAGCCCCCUGGGAUAAGACUGACGCUCAUGCACGAAAGCGUGGGGGAGCAAACAGGAUUAGAUACCCUGGUAGUCCACGCCCUAAACGAUGUCAACUGGUUGUUGGGCAACUUGAUUGUUCAGUAACGAAGCUAACGCGAGAAGUUGACCGCCUGGGGAGUACGGUCGCAAGAUUAAAACUCAAAGGAAUUGACGGGGACCCGCACAAGCGGUGGAUGAUGUGGAUUAAUUCGAUGCAACGCGAAAAACCUUACCUACCCUUGACAUGUACGGAAGUCUGCUGAGAGGUGGAUGUGCCUGAAAGGGAACCGUAACACAGGUGCUGCAUGGCUGUCGUCAGCUCGUGUCGUGAGAUGUUGGGUUAAGUCCCGCAACGAGCGCAACCCUUGCUAUUAAUUGCCAUCAUUAAGUUGGGCACUUUAAUAGGACUGCUGGUGAUAAACCGGAGGAAGGUGGGGAUGACGUCAAGUCCUCAUGGCCCUUAUGGGUAGGGCUUUACACGUCAUACAAUGGCCGGUACAGAGGGAUGCCAACCCGGGAGGGGGAGCCAAUCUCAGAAAGCCGGUCGUAGUCCGGGUUGUUCUCUGCAACUCGAGAGCAUGAAGUUGGAAUAGGUAGUAAUCGC